Molecule: long non-coding RNA, 312 nt
Filed under: Musa acuminata (dwarf banana)
Lineage: Eukaryota; Viridiplantae; Streptophyta; Magnoliopsida; Zingiberales; Musaceae
Description: long non-coding RNA (MACU_LNC005595)
Source: RNAcentral
CAUGUGAACUACAUAACUAAAAACAUCCCAAGCAAGUUUUCAACCGCGAACGUCGAGUCUUGUUCCGGCGAGCUUUCCGACGAACUUCCGGCGGACUUCUGAUAUGCCCUCGAAUUUCUUCCGACGGACUCCCAGCAGGCUCCCGAUCUUGUGACGACUUCAACGAGUAGCCGAGCCUUCUCGGUGAUCUCCGUGAACCUUCGAUGAUCUCUUCGGCAAACUUUCAAAAAUUUCGACAAGUUCCUGAUUUCUUCUCGGUUGGUUCCGGCAGCAUCUCCGAUGAUUCUUCGGACUCUUAAACGUCCAUCGAAC